This 861-nucleotide ribosomal RNA is filed under the name Pseudomonas parafulva. RNAcentral's name for it is "bacterial SSU rRNA". It matches the Rfam family "Bacterial small subunit ribosomal RNA", at positions 46 to 902 of the family's 1533-position model. The record is from RNAcentral. Lineage: Bacteria; Pseudomonadati; Pseudomonadota; Gammaproteobacteria; Pseudomonadales; Pseudomonadaceae.
GCCUAACACAUGCAAGUCGAGCGGAUGACGGGAGCUUGCUCCUNGAUUCAGCGGCGGACGGGUGAGUAAUGCCUAGGAAUCUGCCUGGUAGUGGGGGACAACGUUUCGAAAGGAACGCUAAUACCGCAUACGUCCUACGGGAGAAAGCAGGGGACCUUCGGGCCUUGCGCUAUCAGAUGAGCCUAGGUCGGAUUAGCUUGUUGGUGAGGUAAUGGCUCACCAAGGCGACGAUCCGUAACUGGUCUGAGAGGAUGAUCAGUCACACUGGAACUGAGACACGGUCCAGACUCCUACGGGAGGCAGCAGUGGGGAAUAUUGGACAAUGGGCGAAAGCCUGAUCCAGCCAUGCCGCGUGUGUGAAGAAGGUCUUCGGAUUGUAAAGCACUUUAAGUUGGGAGGAAGGGUUGUAGAUUAAUACUCUGCAAUUUUGACGUUACCGACAGAAUAAGCACCGGCUAACUCUGUGCCAGCAGCCGCGGUAAUACAGAGGGUGCAAGCGUUAAUCGGAAUUACUGGGCGUAAAGCGCGCGUAGGUGGUUUGUUAAGUUGGAUGUGAAAGCCCCGGGCUCAACCUGGGAACUGCAUCCAAAACUGGCAAGCUAGAGUACGGUAGAGGGUGGUGGAAUUUCCUGUGUAGCGGUGAAAUGCGUAGAUAUAGGAAGGAACACCAGUGGCGAAGGCGACCACCUGGACUGAUACUGACACUGAGGUGCGAAAGCGUGGGGAGCAAACAGGAUUAGAUACCCUGGUAGUCCACGCCGUAAACGAUGUCAACUAGCCGUUGGAAUCCUUGAGAUUUUAGUGGCGCAGCUAACGCAUUAAGUUGACCGCCUGGGGAGUACGGCCGCAAGGUUAAAACUC